UAUUUCUCCUUUUGCUUUGUACAUUGGACAUAUUGUUGAAUGGAAGGUACAUUUUGCUACAUGAAAUUCUUUCUCACCACCACAUCAAAGAAGGGCUGUUUUUGUCAUUGAUUGGAUGUGCUAUUAGAAUUCCUUCGAAUCUCAUCACCACACCAAUGAACUGUUGAUUUUGUCACUUGUACCACCUCCUUUAUAUGGGAAGGAAUAAAACAAUACUUUCCUGAGGGGAAUUAUAGAGAGGAAGUCAAGAUGGCGGCAUAGGCAGACUCUGAACUCACCUCCUCCCGCGGACACAGCCAAUUUACGACUACUCAUGGAAAAAUUACCCCUGAGACAGAACUGAAAACUGGAUGAGAGGAACUCCUGCAACAAUGGGCAAUCCUAAUUGAGGUAGAAGAGGCAGAAACUCCCUUCUGGAGAGGAAAAACGCCGCCUUCACAAGCUGCAGUACCUCACGGCCGCCGGGAGCAGCCCACAGGUUUGAAAUGACAUUGUAAUUGCCUGGCUGACAACUGGAAUGACAUUGGAAUUCUUUCCUACCACAACAUUGGAAGUGCUGAUGUUGUCACUUGUACAAAUUUCUUUUGCUGGAAAUGAUCAGAACACUGAUAUCCUGAGAUUGAUGUGAACUAAGACCUUGGUUUCAUAUGAAAAAAAAAAUCAUUCCCUCCUCUUGAGAUGUGACAAGAAGGAAAGUAUUGGGAAUAGUUCUAUCUCAUCCUCAAGAGCCAGUAGGAAUUCUAACACCAGUAAGCAUUUUGUCCUGGAGAUACUGCAUUCCUCUGAGCACAUUGUAACACUCUAUGACAAGGCAAUAUUGGAGUUGGUUGGAAAUCCCACCACUGUUCCAAUGAACUGCUGAUUGUGUCACUUGUACCAGCUCCCUUCUACAGGAAUGAUCAGAACAGUACCCUCCAGAGUUAACAUUGCAGAGACUCAACCUCCCUUUUACAAAUGUGCCUGGAUCAAGGAUGACUUCAAAAAUGGGUCUCAUUGGAAUCUGAACAAAAUGAGUGACAAAAUCACUUCUAUGAGAAUGGAAGUGAUUUUGGAAUAGCAUGAAACACUCACCACCAUAGCAAAUAAGUGCUGAUUUUGUCACUUUUGCCUGUUCCUUUUUCUGGGAUGAAACAAAACAAUGCUCUCCAAAGGUCAACAAGAACAAAGCUCAGGUUUCAUAUGAAAAUGUUUAUUCCUUUCCCUUGAGAUAAGACAUGAAGGAAAGGCCCAUCUUCAAGGGCCAGUGGGACUUCUUAGGUGGGUAAGCAUUUAUAUAAUACUUCUAGGGAUUAUAUAAUACUCAAAUUACCAUAAACACUGUAUAUGAUAGCCAGCUGUGAAAAAUGGAUCAUUGAUGUGGGGGCUGGUCUUCAUAACUGAAUAGGGUGAAUAAGUAUGUCCCAGAGUGAUGAACUUUGGAGUGCUCAGUUUUUUUUACUUUGUGAGGCAUUUUAGAAACUUGUGUCUAUCAAUGAUUACUAUAAUAAUUGAUCUCACUGAAAAAUAUGAACAAAAUGAGUUACAUAAUCACUUCUGUGAACCUGAGUUCCAGCACAGAUGUUUACCCUAAGCAAAAUAUAUACGGAGGGAGAUCAGUGUUUUUAUUUGU
This is a long non-coding RNA of Diceros bicornis minor, 1609 nucleotides long. RefSeq lists it as uncharacterized. The record is from RefSeq and is a predicted model, not a curated record. NCBI's taxonomy places the organism in Eukaryota, Metazoa, Chordata, Mammalia, Perissodactyla, Rhinocerotidae. The transcript is spliced from 9 exons.